RNAcentral lists this long non-coding RNA (508 nucleotides) under Manihot esculenta (cassava). RNAcentral describes it as "long non-coding RNA (MESC_LNC006163)". Lineage: Eukaryota; Viridiplantae; Streptophyta; Magnoliopsida; Malpighiales; Euphorbiaceae. The record is from RNAcentral.
UUUUUGCAAUUUUUCAGCCCUAUUGUCUUGCAAUUCCUUUCCACUCCUCAAUGUGAUGGCACUAGCAUUUUUCCUUGGAUUUAUCUCAGUUUGGGAGGGCAAACAACAAUUUACCUGUGCUAGCAAUCUGGUUGUGCUGGAUUGUCCAGGGGGCUGGUUUGUUUCAGAAAUUUCAGCAGAUUUUGGUUCAGUUGGGGCACUUCCAGCAGUUGCUGGUUUAUGGACAGCAGCAGGGGAUGUAACAGGUACUUCGGCUGGUGCUAAUUUGCAGGCAGCAGUGGUUGUGGCAGUUUGACAGCAGUUGCUGUCUCUAUUUUCAGCAACUUGGACAACAGCAAAUUCUGUAAUUUCUGGUGUAAUUUUGGCAGUUUCAGCAAGUGCAGCAACUUCUGGUUCAGUGGGGGCAAUUUCUGAGGUUGGUGAUUUUUGGACAGCAGGUGCUGUUUUUGCAGCAGGAGCUUCGGUUGGUGCUGAUUUUUGGACAGCAGCAGGUUCUGCAGUGGUGAUU